Molecule: non-coding RNA, 72 nt
Organism: Fukomys damarensis (Damara mole-rat)
Lineage: Eukaryota; Metazoa; Chordata; Mammalia; Rodentia; Bathyergidae
Source: Rfam
UGGGCUAUGGCUCAGUGGCAGAGCACUUGCUUAGCAUGUGUGAGAGCCUGGGUUCAAGCCCCAGUACUGCAA